Non-coding RNA from Sorex fumeus (smoky shrew), 375 nucleotides. NCBI's taxonomy places the organism in Eukaryota, Metazoa, Chordata, Mammalia, Eulipotyphla, Soricidae. The record is from the annotation of a RefSeq genome assembly.
AUGGCCGGGACUCCACUCUUUCUCCUCUCCUUCCUCCUUCACUGCAUAGGGUCCCUCUCUCAGCCUGUUCUGACUCAAGCGCCUUCAGCAUCUGCCUCUCUGAAAACCUCAGUAAAGCUUACCUGUACCCUGAGCAGUGGGUACAGUAACUAUGGUGUGGAAUGGUACCAGCAAGGCCCAGGAAAAGGUCCCCGGUUUGUAAUGCGUGUGGGUCCUAAUGGUCAGAUAGGAUCCAAGGGAGAAGGGAUCCCUGAUCGCUUCUCGGGAUCAGGAUCUGGCCUGGACCGAUUUCUGACCAUCCAGAACAUCCAAGCAGAAGAUGAGGCCGACUACUACUGUGGUGCUGACCAUGGUAGUGGGAGCAGCUUUGUUUAA